CCUACGGGCGGCAGCAGUGGGGAAUAUUGGACAAUGGGCGAAAGCCUGAUCCAGCCAUGCCGCGUGUGUGAAGAAGGCCUUCGGGUUGUAAAGCACUUUCAGUGGGGAAGAAAGCCUUGGGGCUAAUACCCUCGAGGAAGGACAUCACCCACAGAAGAAGCACCGGCUAACUCCGUGCCAGCAGCCGCGGUAAUACGGAGGGUGCGAGCGUUAAUCGGAAUUACUGGGCGUAAAGCGCGCGUAGGCGGUCUGAUAAGCCGGUUGUGAAAGCCCCGGGCUCAACCUGGGAACGGCAUCCGGAACUGUCAGGCUAGAGUGCAGGAGAGGAAGGUAGAAUUCCCGGUGUAGCAGUGAAAUGCGUAGAGAUCGGGAGGAAUACCAGUGGCGAAGGCGGCCUUCUGGACUGACACUGACGCUGAGGUGCGAAAGCGUGGGUAGCAAACAGGAUUAGAUACCCGGGUAGUC
Molecule: ribosomal RNA, 465 nt
Filed under: Vreelandella stevensii
Lineage: Bacteria; Pseudomonadati; Pseudomonadota; Gammaproteobacteria; Oceanospirillales; Halomonadaceae
Description: partial 16S ribosomal RNA
Rfam family: Bacterial small subunit ribosomal RNA
Source: RNAcentral